UCAGGGAUAGCCUAACAUCUGACCGCACCCUCUUUGCUUUUUAAAAAAUGCCUUUUCACUCUUUAGGAUAAAUCCACUAUUAUACAAUCUGCCACUAAUUGUGUAUUAAGACUGUUUUUUCUCUCGAAAGCUGACGCAUCCUGCUCUCAACGUGGUGUAGAAAGCAGGCUGUUACAGUGCUGGAUUAAUAAAAGGGGCCUUUAUGGUUUGUGAAAGAAUAUCUCUGUGCUUAGGCAGGAAACUUUUUGAUCCACAGAAAAGCCAGACGACAUCUAGAGCAAGAGAAGCCAACUUUAGGAGCAUGCAUAUUGUGAUACCCUCACUGAUUUCUUUUACAAUGUAUUCUGCUCAGGCCAGUGAAUUUUGUUACUGACCAGUGAAAGAAAAAAAAAUUAAAAUGAAAAAGGAAACUGAAGAAGUUAAUUAUACCAGUAUUCAGUGAAGGUGGGUUAGUUCUGAGUCAUUUUUCUCUGUUUCCUGUGCCUAACCCAAGAUGCUGCAGGACCUUGUGGAUACAUCAGACUUCACUGAGACAAAGUCUUCACACAGAUCAGGCAUCUAAACUAUUUGUUCAUUUCAGAAGUGGCAUUUUGGCUGCAGUAUAUUUUUUCCACUUGUGUGGGAGGAAUUGUGUUUUAUUGUAAGCAUCAACACUGUUGUUAAAAUAAAUUGUUCUUAUCUGUUAGUAUAGUA
Molecule: long non-coding RNA, 693 nt
Organism: Gavia stellata (red-throated loon)
Lineage: Eukaryota; Metazoa; Chordata; Aves; Gaviiformes; Gaviidae
Exons: 5
Source: RefSeq, a predicted model, not a curated record